GUGGGGAAUAUUGGACAAUGGGCGCAAGCCUGAUCCAGCCAUGCCGCGUGAGUGAUGAAGGCCCUAGGGUUGUAAAGCUCUUUCAGUGGGGACGAUAAUGACGGUACCCACAGAAGAAGCCCCGGCUAACUUCGUGCCAGCAGCCGCGGUAAUACGAAGGGGGCUAGCGUUGUUCGGAUUUACUGGGUGUAAAGCGCACGUAGGCGGAUCGUUCAGUCGAGGGUGAAAUCCUGGAGCUCAACUCCAGAACUGCCUUCGAAACUGGCGAUCUUGAGUCCGGAAGAGGUGAGUGGAACUCCUAGUGUAGAGGUGGAAUUCGUAGAUAUUCGGAGGAACACCAGUGGCGAAGGCGGCUCACUGGCUCGAUACUGACGCUGAGGUGCGAAAGCGUGGGGAGCAAACAGGAUUAGAAACCCUUGUAGUCC
This 425-nucleotide ribosomal RNA is filed under the name uncultured bacterium. RNAcentral describes it as "partial 16S ribosomal RNA". It matches the Rfam family "Bacterial small subunit ribosomal RNA", at positions 354 to 796 of the family's 1533-position model. The record is from RNAcentral.